This 497-nucleotide ribosomal RNA is filed under the name uncultured bacterium. RNAcentral's name for it is "partial 16S ribosomal RNA". It matches the Rfam family "Bacterial small subunit ribosomal RNA", at positions 28 to 507 of the family's 1533-position model. The record is from RNAcentral.
GAUGAACGCUGGCGGCGUGCCUAAUACAUGCAAGUAGAACGCUGAAGGAAGGAGCUUGCUCUUUCCGGAUGAGUUGCGCACGGGUGAGUAACGCGUAGGUAACCUGCCUGGUAGCGGGGGAUAACUAUUGGAAACGAUAGCUAAUACCGCAUAACAGUAGAUUUUGCAUGAUAUCUACUUAAAAGGUGCAAUUGCACCACUACCAGAUGGACCUGCGUUGUAUUAGCUAGUUGGUGAGGUAACGGCUCACCAAGGCGACGAUACAUAGCCGACCUGAGAGGGUGAUCGGCCAGACUGGGAGUGAGACACGGCCCAGACUCAUACGGGAGGGAGCAGGAGGGCAACGUGGGCAAUGGACGGAAGUCAGACCGAGAAACGCGGCGUGAGUAAAGAAGGUUUUCGGAUCGUAAAGCUCUGUUGUAAGAGAAGAACGAGUGUGAGAGUGGAAAGUUCACACUGUGACGGUAUCUUAUCAGAAAGGGACGGCUAACUACGUG